GAACCCGAUUAUUUACCCGAUUCACAAUCGCGCUGCAUUUAAGCCCGGUGGCUUGGACUGGGUCUGCAGCAGCCCGGACUCGGCCGACAGGGUGCGGUGCAUCCUGGGAAUGCUCACGCCGCUGCUGUAGCCCUCCUUAUCGCUGCCACGACUCUGGGCGACACCGGACGCUGCAGGUAACUGAUCCCUAACCAGAUUCAACAUCUCUGGGGCUUCUGAAGACCUCUGACCAGAAAUGUGGCAGCAUGAAAACACACAGACAUCUUCUUGCUAGACUUUGCUUGGCCUGGAUUUGUGCAUUUCUGAAACUGGAGGAUCAGUAGAUAUUGGCCUGGGGACAGUCAGUGGCUCAGUGGACUGAAUCUCUAUGCCUGUGAUCAGAAGAUUGCUAGUUCAAGACCUGGCCUCAACAGAAUAGUCAUAUAUCUGUGGGCCCUUGAGAAAGGCCCUUACC
Paramormyrops kingsleyae is the source of this 454-nucleotide long non-coding RNA. RefSeq lists it as uncharacterized. NCBI's taxonomy places the organism in Eukaryota, Metazoa, Chordata, Actinopteri, Osteoglossiformes, Mormyridae. The record is from RefSeq and is a predicted model, not a curated record.